Molecule: ribosomal RNA, 253 nt
Filed under: uncultured bacterium
Lineage: Bacteria
Description: partial 16S ribosomal RNA
Rfam family: Bacterial small subunit ribosomal RNA
Source: RNAcentral
UACGUAUGGGGCAAGCGUUAUCCGGAUUUACUGGGCGUAAAGGGUGCGUAGGUGGUUUAGCAAGUUAGUAGCGUAACUCCGGAGCUCAACUUCGGAACUACUACUAAAACUGUUGAACUUGAGUACAGGAGGGGCAGGCGGAAUUCCUGGUGUAGCGGUGAAAUGCGUAGAUAUCAGGAGGAACACCGGCGGCGAAGGCGGCCUGCUGGACUGAAACUGACGUUGAGGCUCGAAAGCGUGGGGAGCAAACAGG